CCACAUUUGUGCUAUCGGUUAACAAGAUAGACGACAUCUUUCUAGGGGCAUCAAGCAUGAAGGAAAUUCCAUGCUACUUAUGGUCUCGACUUAGCUAAACAAUCAGCAAAAGAGUUGUCCUCCUGAAGAAUGUAACCCAAGUUCAUUCUUCAAUAUCUAAGUAUCGAAUUCUUGAUAUCACGUAUAUAUCUUAUUGACAUAGUGAACAUUUAAAUGCUCUAUGAACAACUGAAGAGUAUAAAGCGAGUUAGAAUAGCACACAAUGUCCAUUAACCUAAGGGACCAACACAUAAACAACCCUUGGUAAAGAGAAAAAAAAAAUCCAUAAAGGUAAUGCAACCACAACAAUAUAAUCUUAGCAAAAAAAAGCUUCAUUAUGGUCCAUAACCUAAUGAGAACGCCAAUACUAAUAAGGUCCAAAUUAGUCACACACUCUCAUUGGAGUUUAACACAACCGAAUAAAAUGGAGGAUGGGGCCAAACCAAUAAUCUCUUCACACUAGUAGUAGGAGCAUAACCAUCUGAAUCAAAAGACUACAUGAACAUAUUUCAUCAACGUUGAGAUUUGAGAAAUAAUAUCUUGAAUUGGAUGCUUGAUGUUAUAAAAAAAAUAACCUUGUUCCUAAAAUCCCAAAUUUUCCAAAGAAUAAUGACAAUGAUCACACUAUGACUAUCAAUAACAUUACUCGAUCAAUAUGUUAAAUUCAAACCAUCGUGAGGAGGGAUCGAAGAAAGUGGACAAACCUUCAACCAAAC
RNAcentral lists this long non-coding RNA (755 nucleotides) under Medicago truncatula (barrel medic). RNAcentral describes it as "long non-coding RNA (MTRU_LNC008828)". Lineage: Eukaryota; Viridiplantae; Streptophyta; Magnoliopsida; Fabales; Fabaceae. The record is from RNAcentral.